Papio anubis (olive baboon) is the source of this 3638-nucleotide long non-coding RNA. Lineage: Eukaryota; Metazoa; Chordata; Mammalia; Primates; Cercopithecidae. The record is from Ensembl.
AUGAAUAUUGUUUCUAUGAAUACAUUUCUUGACGUGUCUUUUGGUGAACAUGUGCCCUCCUUUCUCUUGGAUAUAUACUUAGGAGUGGAAUUGCUGGCUCAUAAGGAAGACAUAUGUUUAAUUUUGGUAGAUACUUGCAGACAGUUUUCCAAAGCGGCUGAACCAAUUUCUUUUCGCUCCAGCAAUGUACAAGAGUUACAGUUGAUUUCUUAUCUAAAUGUUCAUGGAGAUGCAGAAGCAGCCCAGCCGUUGGGUUUUAAACUACCAAAUGUGUGGUGUUUGAAGAAAAUGCAAGAUUUGGGUCUAUCUAUAUUGUUGAAUGUGAAACGGGAGAGUUCCCUGACCCCUGUGGCAGGACGUCUGACAAGGGUGUGGCUUAUCUGUUUUGCCGCCAUGCGCUCAAGCCCCUUAUGGGAGGAGGAGCACCCAGACCGGCAGCUGCAGGAGCUAGGGGCUGCUACCUGUGAGAAACCUUCCAAGAGCAAAGAAGAAGUUUUCCCUUGGCCAAACAAUGCAUCUGACAAGUCUAAUAUUCGGAAUCUAUAACUUAAACAAAUUUACAAGAAACUAACAAACAGACCCAUUAAAAAGUGAGCGAAGAACAUGAGCAGACAUUUCCAAAAGAAGACAUACAUGUGGCCAACAAACAUAUGAAAAAAUGCUCAACAUCACUGAUCAUUAGAGGAAUGCAAGUCAAAACCACAGUGUGGUACCAUCUCAUACCAGUCAGUAUGGCUACAAUGUCAGUAUGGCUAUUAUUAAAAAGUCAAAAAAUUAACAUGCUGGUGAGGUUGUGGAGAAAAGGGAAUGCUUAUAUGCUGCUGGCAGGCAUGUAAAUUAAUUCAGUCAUUGUGGAAAGCAGUUUGGUGAUUUCUCAAAGAACUUGAAAGAGAAUUACCAUUUGACCCAGCAAUCCCAUUAUUGGGUAUAUAACCAAAGGAAUAUAAAUCGUUCUCCCAUAAGGACGCAUGCAUGCAUAUAUUCACAAUAGCAAAAACAUGGAAUCAACCUAAAUGUCCGCCAAUGGUAAACUGGAUUUAAAAAAUGUGGUAAAUAUAAGUAAUAAAAUGGUAUGCAGCCACAAAAAAGAACAAGAUCAUGUCCUUUGCAGCAGCAUGGAUGCAUUAUCUUAAGCAAACUAACACAAGGAGAGAAAACCAAAUACUGCAUGCCCUCACUUAUAAGUGGGAGCUAAAUAUCAACUACAUAUAAACCCAAAGAAGGGAAUGGCAGACACUGGGGCCUAUUUGAUGGUAAGGAUUGUAAAAUUACCAGUAGAGUACUAUACUUAUUACUUGGGUACAAAAUAACCUGCACACCAAACCCCUACAACAUUUAAUUGACUUAUAUAACAAACCUUCACAUACAUGUAUCCCUGAAUCUAAAAUAAAAGUUAAAAAUAAAAUGAAAUAAAAGUAAAUCUUGCAACCAUGCAAAUCUAAGUGAAAAAAAAAUUCUAAAGUUAUUUUUUACAAUUAAAAAAAAAAAAAAAAAACAAAGCCUGAAAGAAAUAUUUACCAUUUAUUCUGUCUGUGUCCUGCUGCCUGGGAGGAACCUUCAGAGGACAAAGAGGUUUUCCCUUGGCACCUACACUAUCAAUUUCAGAAUGCCCGGAUUAUUUCAAAUUUGAAAACAUUGCAUUUUCCACAUCAGAUAUUAGCUAAUGUUUUUAACACUGUGUUUGAAAUCCAUUUAAUGUGGGUUUUUUCCUUUACAUUUCUCUUCACCUUUAUUUGUUGAUCUUUAUUCUCCCUCUGUGGCUGCACUGGCUGGUGUGGGUUUGUGCUUCAUUUCAAGUUCUCAGCUUGAUGAUUCCUGAAUCUGACCAUGACGGACUCCAGAUCAGAUUGUCAAGAGGCUGCUUGAAUUGUGAAAGCGGUAGUUUCCCCCUGGCAAUUAGAUGUUUCUCUUAUAAAGAACUGGGUGAAUUUAUUCUUUAUCUUCUUUGGGGUUAUCACAAUGAGUUGGUCUAUUAGGCUGUCAACUAAAAAUAUCUAUAAAAAGAACAAAAUAAAAGAAUGUCACAGUUUUAUUUCUGCUGUAAUGUCACCUUUGUUGGUGAGGGGAGAUAUAUCAGAGCUGUAAUCACGCUGUAAUCACAUCUGCCUUAGCUUUAGAAGCUCUAAAGGUAUCCAGUUGGCAAUUUCAGGUGCUGUCCCCACAUAUACCUUUGGAUUGACUAGUUGCAAUUUCAUUUUUUUUUUUUUUUUUGCCACUUUCAAGCAUUCACAUUUUUUUCCAAAAAAGAUUUAUUGUGGUUUUGAGUCACUGCCAGCUAUUCAUUGUGGGUGUAUUUUUUUAAAUAAAAAAAUUUGCUUUUGUCAUUAUCUGGUGAGUCAUAAAGAAUAUCAUACAAAUUUGAUUUCUAUUGAGGUUGAUAAUUUGUUACUUAACAUUUUUAAAAAUUUCCAAUUUUUUUCCAUUCAGAAUUUUUUUUUGUCAUUUUUGUUUUGUUAUUAUAAGUGGUAAACAGUACAAUAUUUUAAAUUAUAUUUGCGGAAGAGUUCAGCCUCUGUCUUUCCCCUGUUGCUAGCUACUCAAAUCCCAGCAGAGAUAGCCAUCACCUUCUGCAAUUUCUAGAGAUAUUAUAUGCACUUAUACAUAAAUAAAUGGAUGUUGUAAAAUUAAAUAAUUCAAACAAAAUAAUUCAAACUUAACACUGUUGGAACUUUACAUUCUUUUGAGCCUUGAGGGGAAUAUGUCUAUGUAGCCUGAGUCGUGUGACAUUUAGCUGCAACUUCUGCCUUUUUCUUCUUGUAAAUAAUUAAGAGUAAGUGGCACCAGAGAUACGAUGCCUCCUCAAAUCACUACCCCUCCUCAUGAAGUCAUAACAUAAUCCAAUCUGUAAUCAAUAGAAUCGUGGUAACAUAUACACUGGUCUCAUAUGAAAAAUGUAAUCCUGCUAAAAUUUCUCUGUAUCUGCCUAUGUAAGUGAAACCUUAACUUUUCCACUUUGGAACAUUGACCCCAUUCAUUUGGAGUUGAUGUUUCCCAAAUGGCUAUCCUAGAGCUUUGCACUCAAACCGUAUGCUUAAUCAUAUUUUCUGAAUCUCAUUUUGUAAGGUUGACAAUGUAUAUUUUUCUCACCAGUGGUUACAUGGUAUACACGCUGCUCUUCACCUUGCCUUAUUUCAUCUAAUGAUCUAUCUUGAAUUAUAUACCUAUAGAGUUUCUUUUUGAAUAUUUUUGAUGAUGGCAUAAUGUUCUCUUGUAUAAAAGUAUGUUAAAUAUUUUUACUCAGUUCUUUAGAGUCGGGCAUUAAGGUGAUUCCCCAUAUUUGCAUAACAAAUUGAGUUGCAAUGAAAAUAUUUCUAUAAUAGCUUAUACAUGUGCCAGUUUAUAUGCAGAAAACAUUACUGAAAGCAGUUUUGUUGGUAAAUGAAGAUGUGCAUUUAAAUUUUACAUAAAUAUUUGUACUCUAUAGCUCCAAUUUACCCACCCAUCAUUAAUAUGUAACUGUUCCCGUUUUCAUGUGUCCUCUCCAGCACAGUGUCAUCAAUGUUUUGUCUUUGCCAAUUUAAUAAGUAAAAACUGAAAUUCUACUCUGGUCUUAAUUUGCAUUAGGGUUAAUCUGAAUAAGACUAGCUUUCUUUUUCUACAUUUAGGAGUUACUAAUAUUGCUUUUUUUUGUAAAUAUG